Molecule: long non-coding RNA, 815 nt
Organism: Uloborus diversus
Lineage: Eukaryota; Metazoa; Arthropoda; Arachnida; Araneae; Uloboridae
Exons: 4
Source: RefSeq, a predicted model, not a curated record
AUUAGAUUUUCAAGGGCUUUUGCUUUUUUUGUAUACAUACUUUUAAAAGUAGUUAAAGUGUAAAAAUAUGGAUUUCUUACCUUGUGACGCUACAAAUGAUUUAUAUGGAGUUCAUCGUACCAUGUAUUGAAUGAAAAUUAUACUUUGAAUCUCAGAUCAAGACCGAAUCAAUAUGCAGACUUCGAUCUCAACAUCUCUGCCAUCAUCGCGGGAAAUAUCACUGCAGCCCAAAUGUCCAAUGAUUUUGGACAUGCCACUGUCAUGACGACGACUCCCAUUUCGUUGGCGAUUGGAGCUACGUGUCUGUUUUUCCUCAUGAAAGGAACGAUACUAACACUUUCGGAUGACGUAUGGAGGCAGAGAAACAACAGUUUGCAACGUCCGUUUCUGUGGUGCAUCUGCUGUUACCAGAGGUUAAUGGGAAUGGGCAGGGCCUUUUCUCUAAUGGAAACUUCUGAGUCAGUGACAUGGUUCAUAAAAGCUGCUGGUCUUUGUUCAAUUUUACAAUGUAUUGCUUCUUUUAUCACCUGGACUGCUAAUCUCACAGUAUCCAGAGUUUUGUUGACUCCAUUAUUGCAUUUAGUUGGAUGACAUGAUAACCCACCAAAUAUAAUGGGACAAUAAGUGAGAAAUGGAGACUGAGAGAAACACAACUAUUACGAACAAUUUCUCUAAACUAUAUCACUUUUAAAGAAAAGAAGAUGAAUAAUUAUGUAUGUGACUGUGAAUAAAAUUUUAUAGCUUAUUUGUUAUGAAUAAAAUGAAAACAUAUUAUAGUUUAUAUUCUGAUUUAACUGAAUAUAUGUAAUAGUCUA